RNAcentral lists this ribosomal RNA (466 nucleotides) under uncultured bacterium. Its description in RNAcentral is "partial 16S ribosomal RNA". It matches the Rfam family "Bacterial small subunit ribosomal RNA", at positions 28 to 505 of the family's 1533-position model. The record is from RNAcentral.
GACGAACGCUGGCGGCGUGCUUAACACAUGCAAGUCGAACGGUGAAGCUCCAGCUUGCUGGAGUGGAUCAGUGGCGAACGGGUGAGUAACACGUGAGCAACCUGCCCCAGACUCUGGAAUAAGCGCUGGAAACGGCGUCUAAUACUGGAUACGAGAUCAAGCCGCAUGGUUAUGGUCUGGAAAGUUUUUCGGUUUGGGAUGGGCUCGCGGCCUAUCAGCUUGUUGGUGAGGUAAUGGCUCACCAAGGCGACGACGGGUAGCCGGCCUGAGAGGGCGACCGGCCACACUGGGACUGAGACACGGCAGAGACUCCUACGGGAGGCAGCAGUGGGGAAUAUUGCACAAUGGGAGAAAGCCUGAUGCAGCGACGCCGCGUGAGGGAUGACGGCCUUCGGGUUGUAAACCUCUUUCAGCAGGGAAGAAGCGAAAGUGACGGUACCUGCAGAAGAAGCACCGGAUAACUACG